This 206-nucleotide ribosomal RNA is filed under the name uncultured bacterium. Its description in RNAcentral is "partial 16S ribosomal RNA". It matches the Rfam family "Bacterial small subunit ribosomal RNA", at positions 144 to 334 of the family's 1533-position model. The record is from RNAcentral.
UAACCAGCCGAAAGGUUGGCUAAUACUAGAUAGAGCGCAUGGGUCGUAAAGAUCUGUGCGGGAAAGGGUGGCGUAGCAAUACGCUAUCGUGCUGAGAUGAGCCUGCGUCUCAUUAGCUAGUUGGUAGGGUAAUGGCCUACCAAGGCUAUGAUGGGUAGCUGGUCUGAGAGGACGAUCAGCCACACUGGAACUGAAACACGGUCCAG